This is a long non-coding RNA of Neodiprion virginianus, 421 nucleotides long. RefSeq lists it as uncharacterized. NCBI's taxonomy places the organism in Eukaryota, Metazoa, Arthropoda, Insecta, Hymenoptera, Diprionidae. The transcript has 2 exons. The record is from RefSeq and is a predicted model, not a curated record.
CCGAUCUAAAAAGAAGUCAAAAAAAGGCCAUGAGUCAAUUUGAUAGCAUCAUAGAUUUUUGGUGGGACCAGCUUACGACGUAACGAUCAUAAACAAUUGAUAAACGAUCGGGCCACCAUCUUGUUGAUAGUUUUGGAGAUUUUUGGCGGGAUGAACUUGCGAUGUGAACAUGUAGCGAUAAACAAUUGAAUGAUCUCGCUUCCGUUUUCAUCUGAAGUCUGAAUUAUUGAUGCAGUAUUUGUGGAGUGAAAAUGUGCGAAUAUAUCUGAUGAAGAUACACGCAGCAAGUGAAUCUGGUUGACGAUUCGUACGUGCAGGAGAACAAGGCAAUUAUACGCAGGGUGAUUCAGGCAGUCAGUCGGUCAGUCUGUGAAGAUAUCUCUGAAUGAUUUCCCGUAGCAAGAAGUAAAGGAAAGAAUUU